GCCUGAACCCAAACUUUUCCAAAGCGAGGAAGAAACCGGCUCUCUGGGUGAGGAGGAAGCUGACAGGCUGGAUGAAGGGAGCGAAGAUGAAAAUCAAGAGUUUUUCGACGCCCCGGAACCGGCCCCGGGCUCAGCCGCCUUCCUCCCCUCGCCCUUUCCCGAGCAACAGACGUGUGAGCAGGAGACUGCGGAUCCGGCAUGUACGGCUCCGGGCCCCAUCCCCAUCCCCGUCUUUCUGGAGCUUCCCAUGGGCCCUACCGCUUCUUACCCUCAGCGUCCUGGGCCGAGAGACAGGAGACCGGGGUUCUUGUGACCCCUAUCUCUGGGCCUCGGUCUCCAUAUCCGUAAAACGGAGACGAGGAGACGAUUGCUGAGAAUGUACUCUGGAAAUUUGAAAGUUCUAUGCCCCCAAAUCACGAUACAACUAUCAUCUAUUCAGCACAGUGCUUGGUACCUGGCGAGCAAUUCCUACAUCCCACCAUGGGCUGGCUGCGUCUCCUCGGGAAGGACUGGGAGGGCGUGGUGGGAUCAGUGGCCCCCGGCUGGCCGAGCCGGCCCUAACCUCCCCGCUUCUCCCUCAGACCUCGACUCGGUGUUCGGCGAACUGCCUCCGCAGUUGAGGGUUAAAGCCGACCCCACCUUCACGCGGCCGCCCGGCCCCAAGAGGAGGGCGAAGGUCAAGCACUUGACCCUGUUCCCCAACGCGGAGCUGUUUAUGGGAGACGAUGACCCCGAUCUGAACGACCACGUCAAGAUACUACACAACAAGGGCCAGGAGGAGAAGCCUCAGAAACACUACCUGCACAUCGGGGGUCUGCCGGCGCAGGUCCUGCCCGUUCCGGCGGCGGGGGGGCCCUUCUCGAAGGAGGAGAGCCACUGCCCGUGAGCGGGGAGCGGCCCCCGGAGACGGCGGGCCGGGACCGGUGGUGUUCCGCCCCAUCCUGCUGCGCUCCGAAGGCAAUAAAACAUGGCUCCCUCUGCCAAGCGUUUGGUGAGGGAUGACAUCGAGUCUCCGAGACGCUUUUUUCUCGGUCGAAGGGGGAAGGGUCCACGGUGGGUCACUGGGAGACAGUCAGGGAUGGAGAGGGGAGAGUCAAGGGGUUGGGAUGGUUUGUGCUGGGUAGACUGUAAGCCCGUCAAUGGGCAGGGAUGCUCUCUAUCUGUUGCCCAUUUGUCCAUUCCAAGCGCUUAGUACAGUG
Molecule: long non-coding RNA, 1199 nt
Filed under: Ornithorhynchus anatinus (platypus)
Lineage: Eukaryota; Metazoa; Chordata; Mammalia; Monotremata; Ornithorhynchidae
Description: lncRNA (ENSOANG00000038398.1)
Source: RNAcentral